GGAAUGUUGUUCGCGUGUUUGUUGGCCGAAAGUUUCUGUUAGAACGAAUUAAUUUGAAUGUUUUAAGUGACAUUUUGAAUACAUCACGACAAAUUAUAAAGAAGGAUUUUUUUGUCGAGUAACAGAAACAGCCAUGUCGUUGACAAAGAAAGAAAAACACAAGCAACCAGUUGGUCUAGUAGCUCUUAGUUAUUGCCAUUAUCCACAAAGUCUUGCAUCACCUUGGAGAUUAGACCCUGCCUAUAAGUGUUCCGAAUAUAGAUCACCCUGGACACUUCGUCCUAAAGGAAGAAUGUCGAAUAGAAAGAGCAGUGGAAAGAGAUUUAUUACUUUAGGACCGUAUCAAGAUUUACCAGAGGAGCAUUUCUUCACACCAAAAAAGAUGGAUUUAAAAGUGGUAGCGAGUCGACAUAAUUCCUACGAUAA
Long non-coding RNA from Patella vulgata (common limpet), 426 nucleotides. RefSeq lists it as uncharacterized. The transcript is spliced from 3 exons. The record is from RefSeq and is a predicted model, not a curated record. Lineage: Eukaryota; Metazoa; Mollusca; Gastropoda; Patellidae.